CUGAAGGGACGUUGAAGACUACGACGUUGAUAGGCCGGGUGUGUAAGCGCAGCGAUGCGUUGAGCUAACCGGUACUAAUGACCCGUGAGGCUUAACCUUACAACGCCAGAGGCGUUU
Molecule: ribosomal RNA, 117 nt
Filed under: Pantoea agglomerans
Lineage: Bacteria; Pseudomonadati; Pseudomonadota; Gammaproteobacteria; Enterobacterales; Erwiniaceae
Also listed under: 1 other name
Description: partial 23S ribosomal RNA
Rfam family: Bacterial large subunit ribosomal RNA (bases 1-99)
Source: RNAcentral